GAUGAACGCUGGCGGCGUGCCUAAUACAUGCGAGUCGAGCGAACGGACGAGAAGCUUGCCUCUCUGAUGUUAGCGGCGGACGGGUGAGUAACACGUGGAUAACCUACCUAUAAGACUGGGAUAACUUCGGGAAACCGGAGCUAAUACCGGAUAAUAUUUUGAACCGCAUGGUUCAAAAGUGAAAGACGGUCUUGCUGUCACUUAUAGAUGGAUCCGCGCUGCAUUAGCUAGUUGGUAAGGUAACGGCUUACCAAGGCAACGAUGCAUAGCCGACCUGAGAGGGUGAUCGGCCACACUGGAACUGAGACACGGUCCAGACUCCUACGGGAGGCAGCAGUAGGGAAUCUUCCGCAAUGGGCGAAAGCCUGACGGAGCAACGCCGCGUGAGUGAUGAAGGUCUUCGGAUCGUAAAACUCUGUUAUUAGGGAAGAACAUAUGUGUAAGUAACUGUGCACAUCUUGACGGUACCUAAUCAGAAAGCCACGGCUAACUACGUG
This 497-nucleotide ribosomal RNA is filed under the name uncultured bacterium. Its description in RNAcentral is "partial 16S ribosomal RNA". It matches the Rfam family "Bacterial small subunit ribosomal RNA", at positions 28 to 507 of the family's 1533-position model. The record is from RNAcentral.